Molecule: long non-coding RNA, 281 nt
Filed under: Oryctolagus cuniculus (rabbit)
Lineage: Eukaryota; Metazoa; Chordata; Mammalia; Lagomorpha; Leporidae
Description: lncRNA (ENSOCUG00000036491.1)
Source: RNAcentral
CUGGAAUCUGGUCUAUACCCUUACACACUGAUCUCUUCUAAUGCUUGUAUCUUCACCCCUUGUGGCCAUAUGGUGUUCUGGCUGUUCUCUCCCAUACCCGAGGACCCAGGAGAGGGACCUAAGCUCUGGAAAUGGGAGGACCCAGGAUCCAUUUGUGUUAGCAAGGGAUGAAGAAGCCCAAGAAGUUGGCCCCAACAAGAAGAAGGAGGGCGAAAGCAGUUCCUCAGAAGAAGGACCUGAAAAUGAUCAAGAUAAGGCAUAAAGAAGUCCCUAGAAUCCAG